GACGAACGCUGGCGGCGUGCUUAACACAUGCAAGUCGAACGGAAAGGCCCUGCUUUUGUGGGGUGCUCGAGUGGCGAACGGGUGAGUAACACGUGAGUAACCUGCCCUUGACUUUGGGAUAACUUCAGGAAACUGGGGCUAAUACCGGAUAGGAGCUCCUGCUGCAUGGUGGGGGUUGGAAGGUUUCGGCGGUUGGGGAUGGACUCGCGGCUUAUCAGCUUGUUGGUGGGGUAGUGGCUUACCAAGGCUUUGACGGGUAGCCGGCCUGAGAGGGUGACCGGCCACAUUGGGACUGAGAUACGGCCCAGACUCCUACGGGAGGCAGCAGUGGGGAAUAUUGCACAAGGGGCGGAAGCCUGAUGCAGCAACGCCGCGUGCGGGAUGACGGCCUUCGGGUUGUAAACCGCUUUCGCCUGUGACGAAGCGUGAGUGACGGUAAUGGGGAAAGAAGCACCGGCUAACUACGU
This 467-nucleotide ribosomal RNA is filed under the name uncultured bacterium. Its description in RNAcentral is "partial 16S ribosomal RNA". It matches the Rfam family "Bacterial small subunit ribosomal RNA", at positions 28 to 506 of the family's 1533-position model. The record is from RNAcentral.